GUUUGAACCAAAAAAUAUCAAAAAUGGCAAUGCAAUUUAAAAUAUUUGAAGUAAAAAGGGCCAGUCACCUACUUCUAAUCGAGGACCAGGAAUUUUAACAAUCUCACUGGUUGAGUCAAUUGUCAUCUUCAUGUUUGUCAGUUGAACAAGUUGCUAGGUCUGGUGCUGCCCAUCAUUCUCUCCAUAUUUUGUUAUGCAUCCACUUUCAAACUUAGACCAGUGAUCAACUGAUCAUUAGUGUAUGAUUCACUUCAACAAGACUUCAAUCACUUGGAUCCGGUCUGUAUCCUAAGUUCAGCAUAAUUGAUUAAGCUUAGCUAGUCUUGUCUAUUA
Molecule: unclassified non-coding RNA, 333 nt
Filed under: Hevea brasiliensis (rubber tree)
Lineage: Eukaryota; Viridiplantae; Streptophyta; Magnoliopsida; Malpighiales; Euphorbiaceae
Source: RNAcentral